AGGACGAACGCUGGCGGCGCGCCUAAUACAUGCAAGUCGAGCGAGGUCCAUCGGGCUUGCCCGAGAAGACCUAGCGGCGAACGGGUGAGUAACACGUGAGGAACCGUGCCCCGAAGACCGGGAUAACCCGAGGAAACUCGAGCUAAUACCGGAUACCCCCAUUGAGAUCGCAUGGUCUUAUGAGGAAAUGUCUUUUCGCUUCGGGAGGGCCUCGCGGCCUAUCAGCUUGUUGGCGGGUAACGCCCACCAAGGCAUCGACGGGUAGCUGGUCUGAGAGGACGAUCAGCCACACUGGG
RNAcentral lists this ribosomal RNA (296 nucleotides) under uncultured soil bacterium. Its description in RNAcentral is "partial 16S ribosomal RNA". It matches the Rfam family "Bacterial small subunit ribosomal RNA", at positions 26 to 317 of the family's 1533-position model. The record is from RNAcentral.